Molecule: long non-coding RNA, 589 nt
Filed under: Vulpes vulpes (red fox)
Lineage: Eukaryota; Metazoa; Chordata; Mammalia; Carnivora; Canidae
Description: lncRNA (ENSVVUG00000028700.1)
Source: RNAcentral
CUGACACCUUGAAUGGGAUUCUGAACAGAAUUUGUGCAGAUGGGAUUAAAUAUCAUCCUGAAUUGAAUUGGGCCCUCAUCCUGUCCAGCCACUCUGGAAAUGUCUAGAUUUACUUCCUUCGCAUCGCCAGGUCCCAGGGGCUUCACUUCAUUCUCUUCCAUGACAUUUGGUGGUAGUGGGAUGGGCAACUUCAAAUCUACAUCCCCUUCUACUAAAAUGGUAAUGGCAGAAAAAUCACUACAAAGAGAAUUGUGGAGAAUGGUGAAGAAAGAGUAGAAGUUGAAGACAACGGCCAGUUAAAGUCCUUGACGAUAAAUGGUAAGGAGCAGCUGCUACGCUUGGACCACAAGUAACAAUGCAUGCGUGUAGCAGACAUGUUAGCUGUAACGGGCACCACUGAGGACUGACAGGGACACGCUUUUUUGAAGAUUUCAAACAAACUCAACUUUUUUUGGGUAUAUAUUUGUAUAUUUUGUAUGUAUUUUUUUAUUGGAGUUCGAUUAGUCAACAUGUAGCAUAACACCCCCCACCCACCUCCCCUUCCACUACCCCUUGUUCGUUUCCCAGAGUUAGGUGUCUCUCAUGUUUG